This is a long non-coding RNA of Populus euphratica (Euphrates poplar), 1569 nucleotides long. RefSeq lists it as uncharacterized. The transcript has 4 exons. The record is from RefSeq and is a predicted model, not a curated record. NCBI's taxonomy places the organism in Eukaryota, Viridiplantae, Streptophyta, Magnoliopsida, Malpighiales, Salicaceae.
AAACCCCCCCUUCCUUGGGAGAAAUCUUUGUUUGUCUUUAAUGAUUUAAAGAGGAGCGUAGUGGUGAUUAAUAACUUGGAAAGAAGGAUGCAUUCAAAUCAUUUGCUAUAGGAGGAGCCUAUAAGGAUGGCUUCAGUUCUGGAGCCAUCAAAAUCUGUUGUUAAUAAAAAGUGGCAGCCCCAUUUCACUUCUGGCAGAUGGUUUUGUUAUUCUGACUCCAGAUCAACAACGGGAAGCUUCUUCUGAAGUUCUUCCCAUCAAUUUUGAUGGACUAUCUGAGGUUUUUUCUAUAUAUUCGUUCAUCAUUUCUGCAAACAUACUGUUGGUGUAGUAAUUGUUCUGUCUUUCUAUUUGAUGGACCAUUAUUGGUUAAGGGUAGGUGUAUGUAAUGCAAAUUACCACUCUAAAAAUACAGAUCAAACUUAGUGCUUUAUGAUGCUUUAGUGAGUUUGAAAUGUUUGAUUAUGUAGAAAUCUGGGUAGCCAUGGGGACACACAAGAAGUUAGAACUUUGAAUAAAAGAAAUGGUCUCUUGCAUUCAUACUUCUUUGUUAAUGGACUUCAUAAAACAUUAUGGUGUUUGCAGUUGUUGCUUGGAAGGUGAGUGGAUCCUGUAAUGAUUAUUUAAUAUAGUUGCACAACAACAUGAACUUGACAAAAUUCAUUUGUUUUGUUCCUCAUGGAGUUAAUUACUUAUCUGAACUUUCAUUCUGUGUAUCUUUUUGUGUUUCAUUAUUCUUGUUUGAACUGUUGUAUGCAUGUUUUGAUGCCUUAAAUUCUGUGUAUCUUAUCGGUUUUAGAUAUCGUGAGGGCUUUAGUAUCAUGACAUAUCUUAUUUGGAAUUAGUUAUUGUGAAUUCUUGAAAAUUGACAUAGUAUUGCAGUUCUGUUCUAUUUAUCAGCAGAAUACAUUGAAAAAUAGAAUGCAUGAAACUCUUAUCCUGUUAUCAUUAUGUUUAUAUCAGUGCUUGAUCGUGAUACUUGACUAAAGCAGCAAAAGUAUCUUCAGUUAUAGUUGGAUUACUUCACUUUGUUCCCUGUAGCCUUUUUCAUUCUUUUGUAACAUCCCAUCAGGCAGAGAAGGUUUUCAAUCAAGACUUGUAUUUCAAGAAAACUGUCAAAUAUGUUGGAGAGCCAAUGACCCACCUUGAGUCCAUUGCGUCAUCUGCGCCAUCAAGGUGGAGGCAUGGUCAUUAUAUGCUUCACUUCUUCAGGAAGGGCUGCAAGAUUGAUUGCCAAGUAUAGGCCAACAAUACCAGUUCUGUCUGUUGUCAUCCCUCGACUUAAGACAAAUCAAUUAAAAUGGAGCUUUAGAGGGGCCUUUGAGGUAUUGUUUUUUGCUUGAUCUAGUGAAGUUUGUUGGGUUAUUUUUCUGUGAGAUGCUUGUUCAACCCUUGAUAAUUUCCCCAAAUUCAUUUCUGGAUGUGACAUGGCACUCAAUUCAUGACUUAAAAAAGAAUUGAGGGGAUGAUGAUUGCCCCUAUUAUCUUACAAAAUUUAUGGAUUGAUUUCUUGAAACAACCUGUCAACCCCACCCCUGUCUGGCAUGGAAAAUGACAAGUACUUCACAU